GAUGAACGCUGGCGGCGUGCCUAAUACAUGCAAGUCGAGCGAACAGAUAAGGAGCUUGCUCCUUUGACGUUAGCGGCGGACGGGUGAGUAACACGUGGGUAACCUACCUAUAAGACUGGGAUAACUUCGGGAAACCGGAGCUAAUACCGGAUAACAUUUGGAACCGCAUGGUUCUAAAGUGAAAGAUGGUUUUGCUAUCACUUAUAGAUGGACCCGCGCCGUAUUAGCUAGUUGGUAAGGUAACGGCUUACCAAGGCAACGAUACGUAGCCGACCUGAGAGGGUGAUCAGCCACACUGGAACUGAGACACGGUCCAGACUCCUACGGGAGGCAGCAGUAGGGAAUCUUCCACAAUGGGCGAAAGCCUGACGGAGCAACGCCGCGUGAGUGAUGAAGGGUUUCGGCUCGUAAAACUCUGUUAUUAGGGAAGAACAAAUGUGUAAGUAACUGUGCACGUCUUGACGGUACCUAAUCAGAAAGCCACGGCUAACUACGUG
Molecule: ribosomal RNA, 497 nt
Filed under: uncultured bacterium
Lineage: Bacteria
Description: partial 16S ribosomal RNA
Rfam family: Bacterial small subunit ribosomal RNA
Source: RNAcentral